GGGGGACCACCCUUCCAAGCCUAAAUACUCGUAUGUGACCGAUAGUGAACAAGUACCGUGAGGGAAAGGUGAAAAGCACCCCGACGAGGGGAGUGAAAUAGACCUGAAACCGGACACCUACAAACAGAUGGAGCCCAAGAUACGUUCUGGGUGACAUCGUACCUUUUGUAUUAUGGGCCAGCGACUUAAUUUAACGAGCAAGCUUAAGCCGAUAGGCGAAGGCGCAGCGAAAGCGAGUCUGAAUAGGGCGUCAAGUU
This 257-nucleotide ribosomal RNA is filed under the name Chaetoceros brevis. Its description in RNAcentral is "partial Bacterial large subunit ribosomal RNA". It matches the Rfam family "Bacterial large subunit ribosomal RNA", at positions 447 to 701 of the family's 2925-position model. The record is from RNAcentral. Lineage: Eukaryota; Bacillariophyta; Thalassiosirophyceae; Chaetocerotales; Chaetocerotaceae.